GAUGAACGCUGGCGGCGUGCCUAAUACAUGCAAGUCGAGCGAACAGACGAGGAGCUUGCUCCUCUGACGUUAGCGGCGGACGGGUGAGUAACACGUGUAUAACCUACCUAUAAGACUGGGAUAACUUCGGGAAACCGGAGCUAAUACCGUAUAACAUCCUGCACCGCAUGGUUCAACAGUGAAAUACGGCCUUUCUGUCACUUAUAGAUGGAUCCGCGCCGCAUUAGCUAGUUGUUAAGGUAACGGCUUACCAAGGCAACGAUGCGUAGCCGACCUGAGAGGGUGAUAGCCCACACUGGAACUGAGACACGGUCCAGACGCCUACGGGAGGCAGCAGUAGGGAAUCGUCCGCAAUGGGCGAAAGCAUGACGGAGCAGCGCCAAGUGAGUGAAGAAGGUCUUCGGAGCGUAAAACUCUGUUAUUAGGGAAGAACAAAUGUGUAAGUAACUAUGCACGUCUUGACGGUAACUAGUCAGGAAGCCACGGCUAACUACGUG
This 497-nucleotide ribosomal RNA is filed under the name uncultured bacterium. Its description in RNAcentral is "partial 16S ribosomal RNA". It matches the Rfam family "Bacterial small subunit ribosomal RNA", at positions 28 to 507 of the family's 1533-position model. The record is from RNAcentral.